Molecule: ribosomal RNA, 376 nt
Filed under: uncultured archaeon
Lineage: Archaea
Description: bacterial SSU rRNA
Rfam family: Archaeal small subunit ribosomal RNA
Source: RNAcentral
ACUUUACAAUGCGGGAAACCGUGAUAAGGGAACUCCGAGUGUCCGUAAAUUCGGACUGUCCGUAUGUUUAAAAAGCAUACGAAGAAAGGGCCGGGCAAGACCGGUGCCAGCCGCCGCGGUAAUACCGGCGGCUCGAGUGGUGGCCACUAUUACUGGGCUUAAAGCGUUCGUAGCUUGGUUGUUAAGUCUCUUGGGAAAUCUAUCGGCUUAACCGAUAGGCGUCCAGGGGAUACUGGCAAUCUAGGGACCGGGAGAGGUGAGGGGUACUUCAGGGGUAGGAGUGAAAUCCUGUAAUCCUUGGGGGACCACCUGUGGCGAAGGCGCCUCACCAGAACGGCUCCGACAGUGAGGGACGAAAGCUGGGGGAGCAAACCGG